This is a long non-coding RNA of Girardinichthys multiradiatus, 1098 nucleotides long. RefSeq lists it as uncharacterized. The record is from RefSeq and is a predicted model, not a curated record. Lineage: Eukaryota; Metazoa; Chordata; Actinopteri; Cyprinodontiformes; Goodeidae. The transcript is spliced from 3 exons.
GCGCCGGUCAGAUUGGUGGCUUAGUUUAGGCUUACGGGCAUACAGAAGGAGACUUAACCUUCACGGAGGCUCAAAUCUGUUCUGUGCCGCAGGCUGGAUUCUGCUUUACUGGUUGUUUGAGGAACAGAAGCUUCCAUAUGCUGGUUAGGAUCCACCGCUGAAGUUAACAGAUCCGAUAUGACAGCUCGGCCGCAGGAAGAAACGAGGCGCGCCGCCAUACGACGGAGCGGGAGGAGAAAGAAAAGGUGGUGGAGAAUCGGCUCGGUGCAAUCAGAGCCACUUUAGAGCACCGAGUGGGUCCGUCGUCUCGGUGAGGAAGAGAGAAAAACCGACGGUGAUCCAGUGGAGAGAACACGUGACGCACGCUGGAACACAAGAGCAACAGCUCGGAGCAAGAAGUGACUACCUCAGUCAGAUGUGUCACACACGGUCACAUCUGGGUCCUCCUUAAAGUGUCGAACUGUCCUCUGUGUCCUUGUUUACAUGCAUCUCAGAUGCUCGUUUCCCACCAUGCUGGUGUACAUAUUAUUCCUCAUAGUUGGCUUUCAGUUUUUAAAUAUUUUAAAGUAAAAGGUUUGUGCUCCUUUACAGGUUUCUGAGUAAAAACAAAGAUCUCCUUUCAAAUGAUUUCAUUUAUUAAGGAACCAAUUCUAUUCAAACCAACCUGGCCUUAUAUGGAAAAGUAAUGACCCCCUGAACCUAAUAACUAGUUGUUCCACCCUUGGAAACAACAGCUGCCUUCAAGGGUUUUUGAUGAGUCUUUAACAUCACUGUGGAGGCAUUUGGACCUACUCGGCUGUGCAGAUUUCGUUUCGCCACAUUGAAUAGUUUUCCAGCAUAAUGGCCUAUUUAAGGCCAUGCCACAGCAUCUCAAGUUCUGAUUUAGGUUCAGGCUUUGGCUAGACCGCUCCAAACCCUUCAUUUAGCUUCUUAGGCCCUUCAAAUGGGGUCUUGCAGGUGUGUUUGGGAUUAUAAGGCUAGAGAGCAGAAUCCCUGGUUCUUUCACCAACAGUAAGGUCUUGAAGCAACAAAGCAGCCCCAGACAUCACACUGCCACCACCAUGUUGUACUUUUGGUAUUGCGUUCUGUUUCUGAAAU